Molecule: ribosomal RNA, 494 nt
Filed under: Kodamaea ohmeri
Lineage: Eukaryota; Fungi; Ascomycota; Pichiomycetes; Serinales; Debaryomycetaceae
Description: LSU rRNA
Rfam family: Eukaryotic large subunit ribosomal RNA
Source: RNAcentral
AAACCAACAGGGAUUGCCUCAGUAACGGCGAGUGAAGCGGCAAAAGCUCAAAUUUGAAAUCCCCCCGGGGAGUUGUAAUUUGAAGAUUGCGUCUUGGAGGCGACCGUGUCUAUGUUCCUUGGAACAGGACGUCACAGAGGGUGAGAAUCCCGUGCGGCACGGCCCCCGGCUCCUUAUAAGGCGCUCUCGACGAGUCGAGUUGUUUGGGAAUGCAGCUCAAAGUGGGUGGUAAAUUCCAUCUAAAGCUAAAUACAGGCGAGAGACCGAUAGCGAACAAGUACAGUGAUGGAAAGAUGAAAAGCACUUUGAAAAGAGAGUGAAACAGCACGUGAAAUUGUUGAAAGGGAAGGGCAUGCCGUCAGAUUGUCAGUGUGGGUAAGAAGCGGGGUACAAAGACUGUGGAACGUGGCCCUCGGGUGUUAUAGCCGCAGUUCAUGCCCCGUCUCUUUCCGAGGCCUGCUUUGAGGACACCGACGUAAUGACGGUACGCCGCC